AGUAACUGCGAGUGAAAAGGAAAAAGCUCAGCGCUAAAUCUCAUUGCUUUAAUUAGUAAUGCGAAGUGUAGCGUAUAAUGCGUAUUAUACAGUAUCGUAACCUGUCUUAAGUUUCCUUUGACUAGGAUUCCAUAGAAGGUGUAAGGCCUGUAAAGGUGGGUUUGAUGCUGUGCGAUGCGUAUUUUGAGUCAGGUUGUUUGAAAGUACAGCCUAAAGUAGGUGGUAAACUUCACCUAAAGCUAAAUAUGUCUACGAAUCCGAUAGCAAACAAGUACCGUGAGGGAAAGUUGAAAAGAACUCUGAAGAGAGAGUUAAAUAGUACGUGAAACCGUAUAUGUGGAAGCAAAUGGCAUUGUCGAAAGAUGGUAGUAAUUAGCCGAUAUAUGGUGUGUAAUAGUGGUAGUAUAUUUUGCUUGUCGAAAGUACGGCUGCUAUUUAUGCGCUAUUUGUUGGUGCACUUAUUAUCAAUGUACUGGUACAUUUGAUGAUCGUGUUUGAUAGAAUAUUUGGUAGCAGUUUUUAACUGUGUCACGAUAUUUUUUGAUGACAUGACUGUUAGGUGUGAUUCUGGUGCAGGUGGAUGUAUGUUGUUACUAUUUGAUCAGUUUGUGUCUUCGCUUGCGAAUGUACUUAUUGAUUGGAUGGUGAUGUCAUUCUGAUAUCUACACUAUACCGGUAUAAAGGACAAUUACCCAUUUGUCCCGUCUUGAAACACGGACCAAGGAGUGUAUUGCAUAUGCAAGUCAUUGAGUGUUAAAAGCUCAUAGGCGUAAUGAAAGUGAAUGAUGCUUUUACAGUAUCUUAUGUGUUAUCCUUUUCUUCGGAUUAGGCGCACCAUAGUCCUGUCCAAUAGACUUGUCUAUGGGCAGAGAAAGAGCAUAUGCAAUGCGACCCGAAAGAUGGUGAACUAUGCCUGAGUAGGAUGAAGCCGGAGGAAACUCUGGUGGAAGUCCGUAGCGGUUCUGACGUGCAAAUCGAUCGUCAAACUUGGGUAUAGGGGCGAAAGAC
Molecule: ribosomal RNA, 1008 nt
Filed under: Turbatrix aceti
Lineage: Eukaryota; Metazoa; Nematoda; Chromadorea; Rhabditida; Panagrolaimidae
Description: eukaryotic LSU rRNA
Rfam family: Eukaryotic large subunit ribosomal RNA
Source: RNAcentral